Molecule: long non-coding RNA, 1487 nt
Organism: Pipra filicauda (Wire-tailed manakin)
Lineage: Eukaryota; Metazoa; Chordata; Aves; Passeriformes; Pipridae
Exons: 4
Source: RefSeq, a predicted model, not a curated record
AAUCGGGAGCUUGCCUCCAACAAAACCUCUAGGAAUGUGUGGAUUGCAGAAAAGACUAAGGCUUGCAUGAUCUGACCCCUGGGUGCUGUGGCAGUACGCAAUAUCUUGGCGUCUGUGUCGGUGAUAGUUAUGGGAACAGAGUUUCAAUACCCACAGAGUGUUCUUCAAAACCUCUGAAAGAAGAAAAAAACCUACUGUUAUGUCCGUUGGGAGGAUCUUUGGUGCUCAGUGUAGAGGGACAUUAAGACCACAACCUUCGAAAGAAAGUGACAAAAGGAAACACCCCAGAAGAGAGUCAGCAGAAGCAACAAAAAUUCACUUGUGAAUUGCAACUUUAGUGAUGUACUGACUCUUCAAAUGGCAUAUUUUUACCUGAAUAUUCACAUUGUCUAAAUUUCACAUUAUCUUCUUUGAUGGUCCAGUCCCUUCGAUUGAUUGCUGUGGAUCUAUCCAGUCUAACUUUGAGAAGAGACAUUUUGAUUGACAUUUUUAUUGUGAAAAUCAUACUACUGGAUACUGCCCCCGCUCCUGACAGCCAAGCAUGCAUCUUCAUCCCAUUGCCCUGUGAUAUGCCACAGACUGGGAGAGGAAAAGCUGUAAUGAUGGGACAAUAGUGAUGGCUGUUUUAACACCUUUGGGAUGCCAUCUGUCUGUGGCUUAAGUGCAAGUGUUCCUGGGGAUGACAGCACACACCUGAAUAAAGUACCUAUUGAUUUAACACAGCAAUUUCCUACCUAACAGAAAAUUAGGACACCUUCCUAUGUAGGAAAGUAUUUAAACACAAGCUUCAUUUUAAUUUAAUUUUAAGCAUGUUUAAUACAUUCCUGAAUCAGGGCCACUUAGGUAAUUGUGUGGCAUAAUUGCAACAGCCUACUUUAAAAGUGCUGUGUAGCACCACAGAAAUGUAAUUCCCAGUGUCUGUUUAAGGAGGUGAUCUAUAGCUUAAUGUUAGUAUAAUCGUCAUUUGAUUCAGCAGUUGCUUAGAUUGUAACAUUGUAACAGUGUUAAAAAAGAUAAAUAAAUACAUAAAAUAGCAUAGUGUAAAUUCCUCUUAAAUUACCACUCCCUCCCUCUAUGCAUAAUGCAUCAAAUGUACUUAGCACCAGUGAACCGGAUAACACUUUUUUAGAUGACUCACUAUCUUCAUGUUGGAGUCACAUUCCAUUGCAGAGAAUAAAAUGUGUUACCCUUGGGAGCAAAGAGAUUUGAAGGGGAAAAAAUCUGAGGGAAUAACUUCACAUCCAUUAUUUGAGAUGGUUCUUGUGCUGGGUUUGCGUGGACUGGUUUCAGUAGCAGGGGGGCUACUGGGGUUGCCUCUGUGAGAAGCUGCCAGAAACUUCCCUAUGUCCAGUGGGGUCAACGUUAGACAGCUCCAAAACGACCAAGGUAGUAGUGCCUCCGGGAUGAUGUGUUUAACAAGGCAAAAAAGUUACUGCUCAGAAACCUUUGCAACUCGACAGCCCUGCAGACACCCAGGUCAGUGCAGA